This 1166-nucleotide ribosomal RNA is filed under the name Anaptychia palmatula. Its description in RNAcentral is "SSU rRNA". It matches the Rfam family "Eukaryotic small subunit ribosomal RNA", at positions 150 to 1324 of the family's 1831-position model. The record is from RNAcentral. Lineage: Eukaryota; Fungi; Ascomycota; Lecanoromycetes; Caliciales; Physciaceae.
UGGUAAUUCUAGAGCUAAUACAUGCUAAAAGCCUCGACUUCGGGAGAGGCGUAUUUAUUAGAUAAAAAACCAAUGCCCUUCGGGGCUACAAGGUGAUUCAUAAUAACUUAACGAAUCGCAUGGCCUUGCGCCGGCGAUGUUUCUUUCAAAUUUCUGCCCUAUCAACUUUCGAUGGUUGUGUCUUGGACAACCAUGGUUUCUACGGGUAACGGGGAAUUAGGGUUCUAUUCCGGAGAGGGAGCCUGAGAAACGGCUACCACAUCCAAGGAAGGCAGCAGGCGCGCAAAUUACCCAAUCCCGACACGGGGAGGUAGUAACAAUAAAUACUGAUACAGUGCCCUUUCGGGUAUUGUAAUUGGAAUGAGAAAAAUUUAAAUCCCUUAACGAGGAACAAUUGGAGGGCAAGUCUGGUGCCAGCAGCCGCGGUAAUUCCAGCUCCAAUAGCGUAUAUUAAAGUUGUUGCAGUUAAAAAGCUCGUAGUUGAAACUUGGGCCUGGCUGUCCGGUCCGCCUCACCGCGUGCACUGGCUCGGCCGGGCCUUUCCUUCUGGGGAGCCGCAUGCCCUUUAUUGGGUGUGUCGGGGAUCCAGGACUUUUACUUUGAAAAAAUUAGAGUGUUCAAAGCAGGCCUAUGCUCGAAUACAUUAGCAUGGAAUAAUAGAAUAGGACGUGUGGUUCUAUUUUGUUGGUUUCUAGGACCGCCGUAAUGAUUAAUAGGGAUAGUCGGGGGUGUCUGUAUUCAACUGUCAGAGGUGAAAUUCUUGGAUUUGUUGAAGACAAACUACUGCGAAAGCAUUCACCAAGGAUGUUUUCAUUAAUCAGUGAACGAAAGUUAGGGGAUCGAAGACGAUCAGAUACCGUCGUAGUCUUAACCAUAAACUAUGCCAGCUAGGGAUCGGACGGUGUUAUUAUUUUGACCCGUUCGGCACCUUACGAGAAAUCAAAGCGUUUGGGUUCUGGGGGGAGUAUGGUCGCAAGGCUGAAACUUAAAGACAUUGACGGAAGGGCACCACCAGGCGUGGAGCCUGCGGCUUAAUUUGACUCAACACGGGGAAACUCACCAGGUCCAGAUUUGAUAAGGAUUGACAGAUUGAGAGCUCUUUCUUGAUUUCAAAGGUGGUGGUGCAUGGCCGUUCUUAGUUGGUGGAGUGAUUUGUCUGCUUAAUU